Long non-coding RNA from Saccostrea echinata, 615 nucleotides. RefSeq lists it as uncharacterized. The transcript is spliced from 3 exons. Lineage: Eukaryota; Metazoa; Mollusca; Bivalvia; Ostreida; Ostreidae. The record is from RefSeq and is a predicted model, not a curated record.
CCAGAAUCAUAUGGACCGCAGACUGGCCCUGGUGAUUCCGUUAAAAAAAAAGAGGAAAAAUCAGUGCUUGUGCUCAUUGGUCAUUGGACAAAGGGUGAAUGCCAGAAUUUUUUCAAGAACAGUCUGAAUCUGACAUGGAAAAAUGAAGAAAAACAGCCUUCCUGUUUAUAAAUCUACAUUCUGACAAAGGGUAAGAAAGAAAUUCAGGAGUUCUUAAAUUGCCCUUGGGAUUGCAUCAAACUGCUAAAAGACCUCAACAAAAACAGCGUCUUGAAAAUAAAAAUGAAAAUAUUCAGUGAAAAAAAAAAUGAUGAAAGAGCCACUAAAAAUCUUCAAGCCUUUGAGCUGAAAUCUGGAAGUCAAUCUGUGGACUUCACUAGUAUGUCAUAAUUACUAAGUCAUCAUUUGUGUAUAAUAAAUACACUAAACUGUAAACACUUGUUAAAAUGUGUAUAAUUUUUAGAUAUAAUUUGUAGCUCACAGACUUCAAUAGUUUCAUGUAAUGUAAGUAAUAAUGAAAAUUUCCUGUUGUCUAGCUAGAUUAGAAACUAUUAUUGUCCAAUUUUGGAUAUUGUGAAAUAAUUCAUCUAGUAUGCAUACAUGUGUGUACACUUA